Molecule: ribosomal RNA, 199 nt
Filed under: Percolomonas cosmopolitus
Lineage: Eukaryota; Heterolobosea; Eutetramitea; Percolomonadida; Percolomonadidae
Description: partial Bacterial large subunit ribosomal RNA
Rfam family: Bacterial large subunit ribosomal RNA
Source: RNAcentral
GCCAAUGGCAUUGCCCGGUAGCUAUGUUCGGAACGGAUAACCGCUGAAAGCAUCUAAGCGGGAAGCCGGCCCAAAGAUGAGUCAUCCCUGACCUUUAAGGUCUGGAAGGGUUGUUAUAGACGAUGACGUUGAUAGGCAGGGUGUGGAAGCGUUGUAAGGCGUUAAGCUAACCUGUACUAAUUGCCCGAGAGGCUUAACC